Non-coding RNA from Paramuricea clavata, 740 nucleotides. Lineage: Eukaryota; Metazoa; Cnidaria; Anthozoa; Malacalcyonacea; Plexauridae. The record is from the annotation of a GenBank genome assembly.
UAGUGGGAAAGUUGACUGGAUUGAAAAGACGGGUUGAAAGCUUGGAAUCCAGUGGUGGGGGUGGUGCAAGGAUUAGAAAUGAAGUGCAUGAGCUAACAAGUAAAAGUAGGGACCUUACUACUGAAAGCAGCAACUUACGUGAACGGGAUAUGAGUUUAGAAAGAGAAGUGCAAGAUAAGAUCUCAAUUAUUGAUCGUUUGCAAUAAAGUACGGUGGAUCAAAGGGAUGGGUCUCUUGCCCUCAAUACUGUCAAAAUUAUACCGAUUUGGAGUCGCAACGAGGUUCCCGUGCACAACAAGCUAUCCACAGUUACAAUGGAACUUUACUGUGGAAGAUUGAAAACUAUCAGAGAAAACGGCAAGAUGCCACCCUCUGAAUGGAGAUGGCUUUGGAAAGGGAUCGCAUUUGUCUUUGUUUUUUGUUUUGACGAGAGUCGACUACGACGCUCUUCAAACCUGACCAUUUGAAAAGAAGAUCACGAUGAUGCUGUUGGAUCAAGGAAAUGGAGAUCAUAUGAUUGAUGCGUUUAAUUCAGAUCCUCGAACUGUUAAUCUUUCCGACGUCCGAAGUCUGACAUGAAUAUCGCUUCGGGUUCCCCGCUCUUUAUGCCACUCGAUAGCUUGAAUAAUCGUCAGUACAUCAAGGACGAUGUCCUGUUUAUUAAGAUUAUCGUCGACUGAACAAGAUGAUGUUGGUAGGACAAUUCCGUACGAUUAUAAAUAUAUAAAACAUUUUUUAAU